This 60-nucleotide transfer RNA is filed under the name Nomada goodeniana. RNAcentral's name for it is "tRNA-Ser". The record is from RNAcentral. Lineage: Eukaryota; Metazoa; Arthropoda; Insecta; Hymenoptera; Apidae.
AAGAUAUAUAAUUUAAAGCUUCUAACUUUAAUAAAUAGAUUAAUAAUCUUAUAUUUUUUU